This 44-nucleotide transfer RNA is filed under the name Equus sp. RNAcentral describes it as "partial tRNA-Ser". The record is from RNAcentral. Lineage: Eukaryota; Metazoa; Chordata; Mammalia; Perissodactyla; Equidae.
ACUGCUAAUUCAUGCCCCCAUGUCCAACAAACAUGGCUCUCUCA